GAUGAACGCUGGCGGCGUGCCUAAUACAUGCAAGUCGAGCGACCGGACGAGAAGCUUGCUUCUCUGACGUUAGCGGCGGACGGGUGAGUAACACGUGGAUAACCUACCUAUAAGACUGGGAUAACUUCGGGAAACCGGAGCUAAUACCGGAUAAUAUUUUGAACCGCAUGGUUCAAAAGUGAAAGACGGUCUUGCUGUCACUUAUAGAUGGAUCCGCGCUGCAUUAGCUAGUUGGUAAGGUAACGGCUUACCAAGGCAACGAUGCAUAGCCGACCUGAGAGGGUGAUCGGCCACACUGGAACUGAGACACGGUCCAGACUCCUACGGGAGGCAGCAGUAGGGAAUCUUCCGCAAUGGGCGAAAGCCUGACGGAGCAACGCCGCGUGAGUGAUGAAGGUCUUCGGAUCGUAAAACUCUGUUAUUAGGGAAGAACAUAUGUGUAAGUAACUGUGCACAUCUUGACGGUACCUAAUCAGAAAGCCACGGCUAACUACGUG
Molecule: ribosomal RNA, 497 nt
Filed under: uncultured bacterium
Lineage: Bacteria
Description: partial 16S ribosomal RNA
Rfam family: Bacterial small subunit ribosomal RNA
Source: RNAcentral